This 500-nucleotide ribosomal RNA is filed under the name Spiroplasma endosymbiont of Heliconius hecale. Its description in RNAcentral is "bacterial SSU rRNA". It matches the Rfam family "Bacterial small subunit ribosomal RNA", at positions 1 to 502 of the family's 1533-position model. Lineage: Bacteria; Bacillati; Mycoplasmatota; Mollicutes; Entomoplasmatales; Spiroplasmataceae. The record is from RNAcentral.
UUUUAGAGUUUGAUCAUGGCUCAGGAUGAACGCUGGCGGCAUGCCUAAUACAUGCAAGUCGAACGGGGUGCUUGCACCCAGUGGCGAACGGGUGAGUAACACGUAUCUAAUCUACCUUUUAGUGGGGGAUAACAGUUGGAAACGACUGCUAAUACCGCAUACGACAUCAUUAUCGCAUGAGAAGAUGUUGAAAGGCCCGUUUGGGUCGCUAGAAGAUGAGGAUGCGGCGUAUUAGCUAGUAGGUGGGGUAAAGGCCCACCUAGGCGAUGAUACGUAGCCGAACUGAGAGGUUGAUCGGCCACAUUGGGACUGAGAUACGGCCCAGACUCCUACGGGAGGCAGCAGUAGGGAAUUUUUCACAAUGGGCGAAAGCCUGAUGAAGCAAUGCCGCGUGAGUGAUGACGGUCUUCGGAUUGUAAAGCUCUGUUGUAAGGGAAGAACAGCUAGAAGAGGAAAUGCUUUUAGUUUGACGGUACCUUACCAGAAAGCCACGGCUAAAA